CNGUAAGGUGUUGGUUGUACACUUGAUGGC
Molecule: non-coding RNA, 30 nt
Filed under: Rattus norvegicus (Norway rat)
Lineage: Eukaryota; Metazoa; Chordata; Mammalia; Rodentia; Muridae
Source: RNAcentral